This is a non-coding RNA of Phascolarctos cinereus (koala), 428 nucleotides long. NCBI's taxonomy places the organism in Eukaryota, Metazoa, Chordata, Mammalia, Diprotodontia, Phascolarctidae. The record is from RefSeq and is a predicted model, not a curated record.
GAAAAAGCAUCUACCUCACCGUGCUAUUGUGAAGAUCAGUUUAAACCCACAUGACAUCAAGAACUGAAUUGCUCACUUUGGACAUAUGCUGGUUGAAUUUUGGGUUCCUGUGCUUCCUCAGUGUCUCUGGACUUUGAAGCAUUUUUUUCCACCGAUUCUGAACCAAGAUAAUGCUGAUCCAAACAAAGCAAUGACAUGGACUCAAGACUCUUCACCAUCCUGAUUGUCCUACUCUGUACACUUCCUAAUUUAUCAACUCAUGGAAACAAUGAAUAAUUAUGUUAAAGAAACUAACAAGGAGAUAUACCAAAAUCUGCGGGAUGCAACUGAAGCAAUUUUUAGGAGACUACAUUUCUAAACACUCAUGACAGCAACCUAAGAGAGAGAGAGAGAGAGAAAGAGAGAGAGAGAGAGAGAGAGAGAGAGAG